RNAcentral lists this long non-coding RNA (424 nucleotides) under Homo sapiens (human). RNAcentral describes it as "non-protein coding lnc-ACP1-5:1". Lineage: Eukaryota; Metazoa; Chordata; Mammalia; Primates; Hominidae. The record is from RNAcentral.
UGCGCGCGGCCUGUGGCUGGACGAGGUUCACGUGGGUUUACCUGGAGGCGUUGCUGCGCGCGGCCUGUGGCUGGACGAGGUUCACGUGGGUUUUGCUGUGAAGAGACCAAGCACUACAGAUUGAAGCUGGGUGCCUGAUGGACACCUGCUCGUGUGCUUCUCUGUAAGUAUUUGCAUUGUCGCAGCUGCAAGCACCCAUUUCGCUGAGAAUCACUGUUGCCUCCAUGGGGUCCUGUCCUAUGGACGACCCCUGUCUAGUUGGGAACUUGGUGCCAGGAGCUCAACUUGCUCCAAUGCUUCCCAUCCUACUAAGUUCUACGCUGACUACAGUGGUAGGUAACGUCUGUUUUCCUGCAGUGCUUAAAUAUUGUUUCUACCUCCACCUUCGGCAGCUAUGUGGCAGACAUUUAAUCAUUGUUAGGCA